AACGCGAAGAACCUUACCAAGGCUUGACAUAUACCUGAAAAGGCUGGAAACAGUCUCCCCGCAAGGCAGGUAUACAGGUGGUGCAUGGUUGUCGUCAGCUCGUGUCGUGAGAUGUUGGGUUAAGUCCCGCAACGAGCGCAACCCUCGUUCUAUGUUGCCAGCACGUAAUGGUGGGAACUCAUAGGAGACUGCCGGGGUCAACUCGGAGGAAGGUGGGGAUGACGUCAAAUCAUCAUGCCCCUUAUGUCUUGGGCUGCAAACAUGCUACAAUGGCCGGUACAAAGGGUUGCGAGACCGCAAGGUGGAGCGAAUCCCAAAAAGCCGGUCUCAGUUCGGAUUGGGGUCUGCAACUCGACCCCAUGAAGUCGGAGUCGCUAGUAAUCGCGAAUCAGCAACGUCGCGGUGAAUACGUUCCCGGGCCUUGUACACACCGUAGAGAC
RNAcentral lists this ribosomal RNA (440 nucleotides) under uncultured bacterium. Its description in RNAcentral is "bacterial SSU rRNA". It matches the Rfam family "Bacterial small subunit ribosomal RNA", at positions 958 to 1400 of the family's 1533-position model. The record is from RNAcentral.